AGAACGAACGCUGGCGGCAUGCCUAAUACAUGCAAGUCGAACGAACUCUUCGGAGUUAGUGGCGCACGGGUGCGUAACGCGUGGGAAUCUGCCCCUUGGUUCGGAAUAACAGUUGGAAACGACUGCUAAUACCGGAUGAUGACGAAAGUCCAAAGAUUUAUCGCCAAGGGAUGAGCCCGCGUAGGAUUAGCUAGUUGGUGAGGUAAAGGCUCACCAAGGCAACGAUCCUUAGCUGGUCUGAGAGGAUGAUCAGCCACACUGGGACUGAGACACGGCCCAGACUCCUACGGGAGCAGCAGUAGGGAAUAUUGGACAAGUGGGCGAAAGCCUGAUCCAGCAAUGCCGCGUGAGUGA
RNAcentral lists this ribosomal RNA (354 nucleotides) under uncultured soil bacterium. Its description in RNAcentral is "bacterial SSU rRNA". It matches the Rfam family "Bacterial small subunit ribosomal RNA", at positions 26 to 408 of the family's 1533-position model. The record is from RNAcentral.